CGAGUGGCGGACGGGUGAGUAAUGUCUGGGAAACUGCCUGAUGGAGGGGGAUAACUACUGGAAACGGUAGCUAAUACCGCAUAACGUCGCAAGACCAAANAGGGGGACCCUCGGGCCUCUUGCCAUCGGAUGUGCCCAGAUGGGAUUAGCUUGUUGGUGGGGUAACGGCUCACCAAGGCGACGAUCCCUAGCUGGUCUGAGAGGAUGACCAGCCACACUGGAACUGAAACACGGUCCAGACUCCUACGGGAGGCAGCAUG
This 260-nucleotide ribosomal RNA is filed under the name uncultured bacterium. RNAcentral's name for it is "partial 16S ribosomal RNA". It matches the Rfam family "Bacterial small subunit ribosomal RNA", at positions 92 to 353 of the family's 1533-position model. The record is from RNAcentral.